GUGAUGAAACCAGUUCUGAGAUGGGGGUUAUUAAGAGAAUGUACUGCGGAAGCAGAAGUGGCGCCUGCACGUGUAAUCCAGAAGGAGAAAGUAAAUUCAAUAUUAAAGCUGAUUGGAGACCGCCGGAAACAGCUGGGGAGGGAUUCGGGAGGCCAGCUGCAGGAACAGGACGGCUCAGCGUACUGCGGGGAAAUGGUGCUAGGAGCAAUCAGGAUACCCGUGUGUGCUGAUCCAGUCUGGACUGCGGGAUCAGGAGCAGCAGGCAGGGGUCGUGGCCUUUGUGUCAGUGGGGAUCGCUGGCACCAGUCAAGAAGACGAUAACAGUAAUGAUCCUGAGUGAUGUUUUAAACAUCUGAAGAGGGAAAUUGCUGCAGCAUCUACAAGUAAUAUGUCUUCCAAAACAAACUUAU
Molecule: non-coding RNA, 410 nt
Organism: Lepisosteus oculatus (spotted gar)
Lineage: Eukaryota; Metazoa; Chordata; Actinopteri; Semionotiformes; Lepisosteidae
Source: RefSeq, a predicted model, not a curated record